RNAcentral lists this ribosomal RNA (559 nucleotides) under uncultured bacterium. Its description in RNAcentral is "bacterial SSU rRNA". It matches the Rfam family "Bacterial small subunit ribosomal RNA", at positions 120 to 674 of the family's 1533-position model. The record is from RNAcentral.
GGGAAACUGCCUGAUGGAGGGGGAUAACUACUGGAAACGGUAGCUAAUACCGCAUGACCUCGCAAGAGCAAAGUGGGGGACCUUCGGGCCUCACGCCAUCGGAUGUGCCCAGAUGGGAUUAGCUAGUAGGUGAGGUAAUGGCUCACCUAGGCGACGAUCCCUAGCUGGUCUGAGAGGAUGACCAGCCACACUGGAACUGGGACACGGUCCAGACUCCUACGGGAGGCAGCAGUGGGGAAUAUUGCACAAUGGGCGCAAGCCUGAUGCAGCCAUGCCGCGUGUGUGAAGAAGGCCUUAGGGUUGUAAAGCACUUUCAGCGAGGAGGAAGGGUUCAGUGUUAAUAGCACUGUGCAUUGACGUUACUCGCAGAAGAAGCACCGGCUAACUCCGUGCCAGCAGCUGCGGUAAUACGGAGGGUGCAAGCGUUAAUCGGAAUUACUGGGCGUAAAGCGCACGCAGGCGGUUUGUUAAGUCAGAUGUGAAAUCCCCGAGCUUAACUUGGGGACUGCAUUUGAAACUGGCAAGCUAGAGUCUUGUAGAGGGGGGUAGAAUUCCAGGU